AAAUAUUAACUCACACCCAUCAACGCCCGGGUACUACGAGCCCCAGCUUAAAACCCAAAGGACUUGACGGUGUCCCAUCCACCUAGAGGAGCCUGUUCUAUAAUCGAUAAUCCCCGCUAAACCCAACCUUCUCUUGCAAUCAGCCUGUAUACCUCCGUCGUAAGCUUACCAUAUGAAUGACCUUAGUAAGCUAAAUGGUCACAAACCCCAAUACGUCAGGUCAAGGUGCAGCUCAUGAGAAGGCAAGAAAUGGGCUACAAUUUCUAAUCUAGAACAAACGAAACACUGCAUGAAACUCAGCUGUGAAGGCGGAUUUAGUAGUAAAAAGAAAAUAGCGUGUUCUUUUUAACUAGGCCCUGGGACGUGU
Molecule: ribosomal RNA, 367 nt
Filed under: Nanorana yunnanensis (Yunan spiny frog)
Lineage: Eukaryota; Metazoa; Chordata; Amphibia; Anura; Dicroglossidae
Description: partial 12S ribosomal RNA
Rfam family: Bacterial small subunit ribosomal RNA
Source: RNAcentral